RNAcentral lists this long non-coding RNA (401 nucleotides) under Rattus norvegicus (Norway rat). RNAcentral describes it as "long non-coding RNA NONRATT002706". Lineage: Eukaryota; Metazoa; Chordata; Mammalia; Rodentia; Muridae. The record is from RNAcentral.
GGCAGAUGUGGCUGUGGCCAGCAGAUCCAUGGUUCUGGACUUGAGCCAUGGAGUCAGAAACAGCCUUUGCCUCCCAGGUAUUGAAUGCCUGAGCCAUCAGCCUGUGCCUAAGUCAGGACUGAAGAGGCCUCGGGGGAGCAACCUGCCACCCUGUCCCUGUUUAAUUCCUGCCUCUCCUACAUGCUGCACACAGGUUCAGAGCCCACAUGGCUUCACUCCACAACGGAAAAGGGCAAAGGGUAAAUAUCCGUAUGUUCCAAAGCCAAGCAGGAAGAAGGUUAUGACAGUAAACUGCAGGAGAUGAACAGAGACUACCAGGUACUAAUUUGGAUGGACUGACCAAGAAAGAACAAAGGCACCAGGCAGUAAGAGCCAAGUUCUGCUCUGUCUGUGGGAGGCAC